Long non-coding RNA from Bombus pascuorum, 418 nucleotides. RefSeq lists it as uncharacterized. The record is from RefSeq and is a predicted model, not a curated record. The transcript has 2 exons. NCBI's taxonomy places the organism in Eukaryota, Metazoa, Arthropoda, Insecta, Hymenoptera, Apidae.
GAACACCCAUUCGCGACCCGUCACGCUCGGGCUGUCGAUGGACACCUGUCUGCAUAGUUUGUUCAUCUUCUUCUCCCUGCAAAGAGACACCAAUGAAUAGGGUGAAGGAAUUAAAAUUUUAUGUAUGAACAUCUGCAGUCUGGAUACGAAGUAUCGGGAGUAAAAACAGAGUAAAUUAUUUUUGGGAUGUUUUUCAGUGUCAAGCUUACAUAUACACAUAUAUAACGUAAGCUAUGUCAACCUCGAUACGUUCUUUGAAUUAUUUUCGAUUCAAUCGAAAACGAAAGAAUUCUCGCUUAUAUAUGCGAUUCCUCGUUUCAAGUUUAUACUAAGAUCUUUUUUAAAAUGUCGAAGAUCUCGUCCAUUUCACAAAAACAAAGUUGAAGCACAACGAUUUGAAAAGCGAAAUUGUAUCUGC